This 465-nucleotide ribosomal RNA is filed under the name uncultured bacterium. RNAcentral describes it as "partial 16S ribosomal RNA". It matches the Rfam family "Bacterial small subunit ribosomal RNA", at positions 28 to 507 of the family's 1533-position model. The record is from RNAcentral.
GACGAACGCUGGCGGCGUGCUUAACACAUGCAAGUCGAACGGAAAGGCCCUGCUUGCAGGGUACUCGAGUGGCGAACGGGUGAGUAACACGUGGGUGAUCUGCCCUGCACUUCGGGAUAAGCUUGGGAAACUGGGUCUAAUACCGGAUAGGACCGCACUUUAGUGUGUGUGGUGGAAAGUUUUUUCGGUGUAGGAUGAGCUCGCGGCCUAUCAGCUUGUUGGUGGGGUGAUGGCCUACCAAGGCGGCGACGGGUAGCCGGCCUGAGAGGGUGUACGGCCACAUUGGGACUGAGAUACGGCCCAGACUCCUACGGGAGGCAGCAGUGGGGAAUAUUGCACAAUGGGCGCAAGCCUGAUGCAGCGACGCCGCGUGGGGGAUGAAGGCCUUCGGGUUGUAAACUCCUUUCGCUAGGGACGAAGCUUUUUGUGACGGUACCUAGAUAAGAAGCACCGGCUAACUACGUG